CCUACGGGCGGCAGCAGUGAGGAAUAUUGGUCAAUGGGCGAGAUCCUGAACCAGCCAAGCCGCGUGAGGGAAGAAGGUACAACGUAUCGUAAACCUCUUUUGUCAGAGAACAAAACCCGGGACGUGUCCCCGACUGCGUGUAUCCGAAGAAAAAGCAUCGGCUAACUCCGUGCCAGCAGCCGCGGUAAUACGGAGGAUGCGAGCGUUAUCCGGAUUUAUUGGGUUUAAAGGGUGCGGAGGCGGCCCGUUAAGUCAGCGGUAAAAGUGUGGGGCUCAACCCCGGCGAGCCGUUGAAACUGGCGGGGUUGAGUGGGAGAGAAGUACGCGGAAUGCGCGGUGUAGCGGUGAAAUGCAUAG
This 357-nucleotide ribosomal RNA is filed under the name uncultured bacterium. RNAcentral's name for it is "partial 16S ribosomal RNA". It matches the Rfam family "Bacterial small subunit ribosomal RNA", at positions 338 to 693 of the family's 1533-position model. The record is from RNAcentral.